AGCCAUUCAACAUCACCUCUCCA
This 23-nucleotide non-coding RNA is filed under the name Arabidopsis thaliana (thale cress). Lineage: Eukaryota; Viridiplantae; Streptophyta; Magnoliopsida; Brassicales; Brassicaceae. The record is from RNAcentral.